AUCCUGUUGAUUAAUAAAAGGUGUGACCUGCUCAAUGAGGAAUCUUAAAUAGCCGCGGUAUUUUGACCGUGCUAAGGUAGCAUAAUCAUUAGUCUUUUAAUUAAAGGCUUGUAUGAAUGGUUGGACGAGAAAAUUUCUGUCUCUGAAUUGAUUUUUGAAGUUUACUUUUAAGUGAAAAGGCUUAAAUGUGUUUAAAGGACGAUCAGACCCUAUAGAGCUUUAUUCUAAAGAUUUAUAAUAAUUGUAAGUAAAAUUUUUGUAGGUUGAAGGAUUUUUAUUGGGGCGAUAUAGAGUAAAAAGAAACACUCUAAUAAGUUAACAUAAAUAGAUGAAUUAUUGAUCCUUGUUGAAGGAUUAAGAGUUUAAGUUACCUUAGGGAUAACAGCGUAAUCUUUUUGGAGAGUUCUUAUCGAUGGAAAGGUUUGCGACCUCGAUGUUGGAUUAAGAGAUUGACAGGGUGCAGUAGCUCUGUAAAAAAGUCUGUUCGACUUUUAAAAUCUUACA
RNAcentral lists this ribosomal RNA (504 nucleotides) under Cyclestheria hislopi. RNAcentral's name for it is "partial 16S ribosomal RNA". It matches the Rfam family "Bacterial large subunit ribosomal RNA", at positions 1830 to 2600 of the family's 2925-position model. The record is from RNAcentral. Lineage: Eukaryota; Metazoa; Arthropoda; Branchiopoda; Diplostraca; Cyclestheriidae.